Molecule: non-coding RNA, 304 nt
Filed under: Ixodes scapularis (black-legged tick)
Lineage: Eukaryota; Metazoa; Arthropoda; Arachnida; Ixodida; Ixodidae
Description: Eukaryotic small subunit ribosomal RNA
Rfam family: Eukaryotic small subunit ribosomal RNA
Source: Rfam by way of RNAcentral
UCCGCAGCAGGUCUCUAAGAUGAACAUCCUCUAGUCGAUUGAGCAAUGGUGGAGCGUUGUGUCUGGUUAAUUCCGAUAACGAACGAGACUCUAGCCUACUAAAUAGGUGCAUGGUUCUCUCCAUCUUGCACCCUUCUUAGAGGGACAAGCGGCUCCUAGCCACAUGAAACAGAGCAAUAACAGGUCUUGAUGCUUUUACAUGUCCGGGGCCACACACGCGCUACACUGAAGGAAGCAGCGUGUUUUUAUCCCUGUCUGUUAAGACAGUAAACUUAGAAAAAAGUGACUUGAGCAAAUGCAGAGG